UUUUUUUUCCUAUUUUUAGAUAUUUUGUUGCAAGGUUAUGAGUGAAAAUGUUUGCAGAUCUAGGAACAUAAGCAAACUUUAGUUGUUGAAAUAAUGUCUUUGUCUAAUGUAUAUCAUCAAUGAUAGCCCAAACCUUCGAUCUGUCUUUAACACUUCUUUUUUUUUUGUUUAUGAUGGACUUUGCACCUCUUUCUAUGACCACAUGUUAG
RNAcentral lists this long non-coding RNA (209 nucleotides) under Gossypium barbadense (sea-island cotton). Its description in RNAcentral is "long non-coding RNA (GBAR_LNC003372)". Lineage: Eukaryota; Viridiplantae; Streptophyta; Magnoliopsida; Malvales; Malvaceae. The record is from RNAcentral.